This is a long non-coding RNA of Carassius auratus (goldfish), 2473 nucleotides long. RefSeq lists it as uncharacterized. Lineage: Eukaryota; Metazoa; Chordata; Actinopteri; Cypriniformes; Cyprinidae. The transcript is spliced from 2 exons. The record is from RefSeq and is a predicted model, not a curated record.
AAGAAUAAACCACACCCAAGCUGAAUUUGCUAAUAAAGGUCUUGUGUGCCAUUUCAAAGAUUGAAUAUACAAGUGCUACAGUAUGUGUGGCUAACAGUUAACAUUAGUGUCACGGGGUGGCUAAGGCCGCAACUUUAGGCCAAGGUUGUUGUUGUGGCGGGGAGCACUUCCAGGAAAAAUAAGCUGGAAUAGAAGAUAACGAGGAUAAACGCUGGCAGCUGUGUGGGGGAAAAUGCGUAAGCAGGUGAUUGGAUUGGGAGGGAAAUAAAAAGAGUUGGCGUUUAAGACAAGGGAGCAGAGAGGAAUGAUUGGGGAAGACACAGCAGGAAGGGAGGAAGGAUCGGUGAAGAUGGAGGAAGGAGAGAGGAAGGAUCAGUGAAGACACAGGAAGAGAAGAGGAAGGAAUCAGCGGAGAUGCAGUAGUGACACAGCGAAGAAUGAACUGGAGAUGGAUGUUUGGAAAUGACACUGUAGUGAGAGUCCUGUUUUGUAUCAGUAUACGGAGAGUUCAUUGGUUGAGACUGUCGUAUGGGCCCGCACUCUGCCUUAAGGAUCUGAGGUUUGUGCAUGCUGUGCUGAGUUUCAAUUAUCACGUGUGAAUUGAGUUUGUUGUAGUGUAUAAACGAGUGUGGGAUGAUGCAGAGUGUACAGGCGACCAACAUAUAAUCCCUGACUAAAGCUGUGAAUGAAGAAUCCGCUAAAGCGGUGAAGUGUAUUUACCUUUCUUCUCUCUGUCUGAGCCCUGAAUGAAGCAUCAGCUAAAGCUGUGAAUGAAGAACCUGCAAAGUGGUGAAGUAUAUGUACCCUCCACUCUCUGUCUGAGCCCAGUGAAGAACCUGCUAAAGCUGUGAAUGAAGAACCUACGGAAGUGGUGAAGUAUAAUUAUCUCCAUUCUCUCUGUGUGAAUCCAGCGAAGAGCCUGUUAAAGCUGUGAAGUUGAGGAGCCUGUUAACACUGUGAAAUAUAUGUACCUCACUUUCUCUCUGUCUGAGUCCAGUGAAGAGCCUGUUAAAAUUGUGAAGUGUAUUGGCCUCUCUCUAUCUUCAGUCUGAGUCCAGUGAAGAACCUGCUGAAGCGGAGAAGUAUAAUUACCUCCCUUCUCUCUGUCUGAGCUCAGUGAAGAGCCUGUUAAAGCUGUGACUUAUAUGUACCUCCUCUCUCCCUGUCUGAGUUUAGUGAAAAGCCUGCAGAGUCACUGAAGUGAGUUAUCUGCUGUUGUCGAUCUGCUACCAUUGUAGGACCCGUGACAUAUGGAAUUGAGUAUCCAUUGACUUGACCAUUCAUAUUGAAUCUGUGUGAAGCCCUGCAGAGUCACUGAAAUAGUGCUGUAACCCCACUGAACGGAGAUAGCCGCUGAUGAUAUCCCUACUGAGGACUCGAAGAACGGAGUUACCAUCAAGCUUUCACCAUCUGGCGCUGUAGCCACUCUGGCUGUAUUCACCUUACUGUGUUGGUAGUGGAGGAGGGGAACUUGAGCUACACAUGCAGUCACUCAACCUGGAGCUCCUCAAGAAGGGUGGAAGUGGGGGUGUCGGCCGGCAGGGAGUGCCUCCACACCCCCGGCUCGGCCCGUGACAAAGUGGUGUAGUCGGCAGGGUUCCCACCUUGAGUUGAGCACCCGUAUUCCAGGAGAUGGCGGACGAAGAGGCACCUGCGGAUAGACCCCAAGCGAGACAACCGGGGACAACCACCUGCGAGAUAUGGCGAGUGGGUCAUGGUGCAGGAGUUCUAGGCACUAGAACCCAUUGGUGGGGGAGGAUGUCACGGGGUGAUAAAGGCCGGAACUAUAGGCCGAGGUUGUUGUUGUGGCGGGGAGCACUUCCAGAGUAAAACAAGGCCGGUUCCGGGGAUACACGGAAGCAGGAAAAAUACGCUGGAAUAGAAGAUAACGAGGAUAAAAGCUGGCAGCUGUGCAGGGGAAAAUGCGUAAGCAGGUGAUUGGAUUGGGAGGGAAAUAAAAAGAGAAGGGAGCAGAGAGGAAGGAUUGGGGAAGACGCAGGAGGAAGGGAGGAAGGAUCGGUGAAGAUGGAGGAAGGAGGGAGGAAGGAUCAGCGAAGACACAGGAAGAGAAGAGGAAGGAAUCAGCGGAGACGCAGUAGUGAUACAGCGAGGAAUGAACUGAAGAUGGAUGUUUGGAAAUGGCACUGUAGUGAGAGUCCUGUUUUUUUAUCAGUAUAUGGAGAGUUCAUUUGUUGAGACUGUCGUAUGGGCCCGCACUCUGCCUUAAGGAUCUGAGGUCCGUGCAUGCUGUGCUGAUGAUAUCCCUACUGACGACUCAAAGAACGGAGUUACCAUCAAGCCUUCGCCAUCUGGCGCCAUAGCCACUUGGGCUGUAUUCACAUUGUAUUCACGUGUUGGUAGUGGAGGAGAGGAACUAGAGCUACACAUACAGUAACCUAACCUGGAGGGAGGAAGCUCAUAACGCUUUAGAGACAUUUUUUUUAAUUAAAUUAAUAAAUGUGUUAACUUUGAA